GACCCUAAAAAGUCCUUUAAACACAAAGGUCUGGUCCUAGCCUUGAAAUCAGUUUUUACUUUACUUAUACAUGCAAGUCUCCGCACCCCUGUGAGAACGCCCUUUAAUUCCUCUUAGGGAAAAGGAGCCGGUAUCAGGCACAACAAUUAGCCCAAGACACCUAGCCACGCCACACCCACAAGGGAACUCAGCAGUAAUUAACAUUGAACAUAAGCGCCAGCUUGAUUCAGUUAAAGUAAACAGGGCAGGCAAAUUUGGUGCCAGCCGCCGCGGUUACACCAUGUGGCCCAAAUUGAUGUCUUUCGGCGUAAAGAGUGAUUAAAGUACCACCUCACUGUAGUUCAACUAUAAUUAAGUUGUGACAAGCUUAUAUAUAGGACACCCAAAAACGAAAGUUACUACACUCAGAACAACUUGAACUCACAACAGCUAAGACACAAACUAGGAUUAGAGACCCUACUAUGCUUAGUCGCAAACUUUUAAUUACACCCAAAACGCCUGGGAACUACGAGCAAAGCUUAAAACCCAAAGGACUUGACGGUGCCCCAUAUCCCCCUAGAGGAGCCUGUCCUACAAUCGAUAACCCCCGUUCAACCUCACCAUUUUUAGUUAAAUCAGUCUGUAUACCUCCGUCGUCAGCUUACCACGUGAGUGGACCAUAGUAAGUUCAAUGUCCUCGCUCGUCAAUACGUCAGGUCAAGGUGCAACUCAUAAAAUGGGAAGAGAUGGGCUACACUCUCUAAUAUAGAAAAUACGAAAGACUACUAUGAAAUGCUAGUCGAAAGGUGGAUUUAGCAGUAAAAAAAGAUCAGAGAGCUUUUUUUAACUAGGCCCUGGGGUGUGUACACACCGCCCGUCACCCUCUUCGCAGCCAUCACUUAGUUACUAACAAAACACGCACAGUAGAAGAGGUAAGUCGUAACAUGGUAAGUAUACCGGAAGGUGUGCUUGGAAA
RNAcentral lists this non-coding RNA (955 nucleotides) under Boana albomarginata (white-banded tree frog). RNAcentral's name for it is "partial 12S ribosomal RNA". It matches the Rfam family "Bacterial small subunit ribosomal RNA". The record is from RNAcentral. Lineage: Eukaryota; Metazoa; Chordata; Amphibia; Anura; Hylidae.